GACGAACCGAGCGAACGUUAUUCGGAAUUACUGGGCGUAAAGCGCGCGCAGGCGGUCUUCCAAGUCAGUGGUGAAAGCCCGGAGCUCAACUCCGGAACUGCCAUUGAAACUGUAAGACUUGAGGAUGAGAGAGGUGAGUGGAAUUCCCAGUGUAGAGGUGAAAUUCGUAGAUAUUGGGAAGAACACCGGUGGCGAAGGCGGCUCACUGGCUCAUACCUGACGCUCAGGCGCGACAGCGUGGGGAUCAAACAGG
Molecule: ribosomal RNA, 253 nt
Filed under: uncultured bacterium
Lineage: Bacteria
Description: partial 16S ribosomal RNA
Rfam family: Bacterial small subunit ribosomal RNA
Source: RNAcentral